RNAcentral lists this transfer RNA (71 nucleotides) under Marmota monax (woodchuck). RNAcentral's name for it is "tRNA.Thr". The record is from RNAcentral. Lineage: Eukaryota; Metazoa; Chordata; Mammalia; Rodentia; Sciuridae.
GCUGGUGUGGCCCAGUGGUAGAGCACUUGUCCAGUACGUACAAGACCCUGGGUUCUACCCCCAGCACCACA